CGCGUAGGCGGGGAUACAAGUCAGGCGUGAAAUCUAUGGGCUUAACCCAUAAACUGCACUUGAAACUGUAUCUCUUGAGUGUCGGAGAGGUAGACGGAAUUCCUAGUGUAGCGGUGAAAUGCGUAGAUAUUAGGAGGAACACCAGUGGCGAAGGCGGUCUACUGGACGAUAACUGACGCUGAGGCGCGAAAGCGUGGGGAGCAAACA
RNAcentral lists this ribosomal RNA (207 nucleotides) under uncultured bacterium. RNAcentral's name for it is "partial 16S ribosomal RNA". It matches the Rfam family "Bacterial small subunit ribosomal RNA", at positions 568 to 774 of the family's 1533-position model. The record is from RNAcentral.